GCCAUCUUAGGCAUCGCCUCAUAGAAGAACUACAUCUUCCAGAACCCUCGCGCCCUGCGUCGUGCUGGCACUUUUACCGGCCUGGCCUUAGAGCGGAGCCUGUAGCCGGGCGCCAUCUUUGACGCUGGCACUCUUGGUUUUCUGCUGGUGCUGCUGCUGGGAGGACGACGGACGGCAGCGACCAAGGAAGAAGAAAGACGUGGCAGCAAGCGGGAGUCGGGGAUAGUGUCAACGGUUCGGUAAAGUUUCUGUUCUCUGGGUCCCACUACUUUGGAGCUUGUCUCAAACUCCACAUACAGAAAGCCACCGACCUUAUUCCGGAUUGGUGAAACCGUAAUGAAGAACACCCCUAAACUCC
Piliocolobus tephrosceles (Ugandan red Colobus) is the source of this 358-nucleotide long non-coding RNA. The record is from Ensembl. Lineage: Eukaryota; Metazoa; Chordata; Mammalia; Primates; Cercopithecidae.